UUUUCGUGAUUCGAUUCUCAGUUUUUCUUUUUCUUCCUUUUUACUGAUAUGUCUGGUUUUAUGUUGCAGCACUAGAAGACAGCUUAGUUUCCUUCGAUUUAUGGUUGAUCCGGUAGAAGAACCAGAGCUAAUACGAAGCUCCCAGAUUCUCCAUCUUCGCUCUGACUGAAAAUACCUCACCGCCGAUUCAAAGUUUGUCCGUGUUCUGUUGAUAACAGCCACGCCUACCAGGUUGUUGUGUCUUCUCUUAUCUAAUUCCAGAAUCCACUUCAAUUCAUUCUAGAUUUGUUGAUUGCUUUCGUUCUGUCUUGUUCUGCCUUCGCUGUUAUGUUUUGGAUCGCUAUGCCGAGUCGAUGGAUAUGUCAUUGCACUACAAUUUUGGAAGAAGAGAACGAUGUUCAGAUAUUGAAGUGCAGUCGCUCCAUCGCAACAAACAGAUAACUCACUGCAAACGAAUUCUGAGCUAAUCUCCCUCUCGGUAUCCUCUGUUCUCUCUUGCAGAGUUUUUCCUUCGUUAUAGUGGAAGAACACAAAUAUUCUAUUGCGAAGCGAAGUAAUAAUGAUUGGAUAUUAACGUAACAUUAUGAUGUUAGGAAGAAAAAUGAAAAAUUUCUUAAUAUUGGCUUAGGAAGAAUAUAGGUCGCAUUAAUGUAAAGCUGGUCCGACCGCUUUGGGUCCCUCUUAUUUCCCUCUGUUUCCUCCCACGUCUAAGAGGAUUCAUUUUGCGUGCCCACAGGAAUUUUUUUUUUUACCAUUCUCUGCACUGGAUCAAUCAACAUGGACAGUUCAACGUUGCCUGACUACACUUGUUAGCGAGGACAAUUUGGUUUUAGAAAUUUGGAUGUCCAUGCUGAUUCAUUUAGGCGUACUUGUGCCAAACUAAUUAUCAUUACAACAAAUCCUUGUUUGACAAAAGAUCCCCAUCCUUACUACUUUAAAUGUCUUGUUUUU
Molecule: long non-coding RNA, 951 nt
Organism: Syzygium oleosum
Lineage: Eukaryota; Viridiplantae; Streptophyta; Magnoliopsida; Myrtales; Myrtaceae
Exons: 2
Source: RefSeq, a predicted model, not a curated record